Long non-coding RNA from Gasterosteus aculeatus (three-spined stickleback), 3594 nucleotides. NCBI's taxonomy places the organism in Eukaryota, Metazoa, Chordata, Actinopteri, Perciformes, Gasterosteidae. The record is from Ensembl.
AUUAUCCUGGUUGUUAAAAAAUGAACCACAUGAAACGCGAAGAUAAGUCUUAAUUGAAUCUUGAGAGUGAAUGUCAUGCUGUCAGUCCAGCAGCUCCCCCUGUGUUUGUUUGCUUUGUUUGUGUUUCCGCUGUCUCUGCAAGGAGCUGUGGUCUUCUCCUGUUCAUCCCCAAAGGGUGUGGCUGGAACAGCUGACGGCAAUCAGCCAUCAGGGGACUCUCCUACAUCAACCCGGGUCUUCCUGCCAUUCAGCGCCAGAUCGUUCUGUCGUCAGAGUGAGAGGAUCAUCCCAAUCCGCAUUGAACACCUGAGGAUACAAGCCUCAAGCAGAUGGUCCCGAACCGCUACGCUUCCUGGAUGUUGAUUUACCAUAUGCUUUCUUUAAUAUUUCCUGAUGUUGACUGAAAUAUAUGCCAACCUAUUGUAAUACAUUAUACCUUAUAUUUUUGCAAUGGAUUUCUGGAAAAUACAGAUGCUGGCAAUUUGCUUUGAACUUUGUAAUAAAAUACCGUAACUCAUACAGUUGUACUGUGUUUAUCUCUGAGAAAGACCUUAAUUAGGUUCAGAAUGAAUGCUGUUUAAAAAACAUACCGUAUUGUCUUAUACAAACAAAACGGUAAUUUACCGUAUAUUUCACGGAUUUCUUUUUACGGUGUAUCUGUUUUUUUAAUAGUGGAUUUCUCUAAACAAAACUGUUCUCAACUAGGAAUUUUACGGGUGCAAAAAAACGUACCGUAAUGUCUUAUACGGCGUCACUUUAUUUUUUACGGUAAACCUCUGGCAACCACAGCUGCCAGUAAUUUAUCGUAUAUUUCACAGAUUUUUUUAUGCAGUGCAGUCACAACAUGAAAGUUUACUAAAUGCUGUUAAGUAUUGGAUUAGUGAUAUUCUGUGGCAACAUUAUGAAGUGAAUAGAGACUUAAGAGACUAGGACAGAGUUCUUCAACUUCAACUGCUCCAUUCAGGCCACUAGUUCCUUAGUCUUAAUGACAGAGGGCAGAUAUUGAUUGGAUUCAUAGUUAAGACCCUGCUUCCCUGUUGAGCUACUGUGGAGGGGUUCUAAAACCAAACAGGAAUGUUGUACUAAAACGAUACUUUGGAAGAUACCUUGAUUUGUCCAACUCAGUAUAGUUUCUAAGAAACUGAGAACAAUUUAUCAAACAGGAGGAUUGACUAUAGCGAGCGACACCUACGUACCUUUACAAUGUACGCAAAGGGACCUAAAGACAGAUAGAAACAAAUGCAAGGUUUAACUUUAAAUAUGAAAAUGUCACCAUUUAAACUUAGUGAUGAUGGACGAAAAGUACACUUACUAGUACAUUCAUCUUCAGGCUAAAACACUAUUAGACACUAACACAGGUUCUCUCAGGACUGACCUUCUCCAAGCUUUCCAUGAGAUUAAAUAUGAGAAACAGUGAUGAACAGCCCUUUGAAGUCAUACCCAGCCAGGAUAUAAUGUUCAGCAGAACCGCAGAAAGAGACCUUGGAGGCCUGAGUAUAGCUCUCUCAGACUGAUAAUAUGAGCUGAAUCCACCAGUUUACUCACCGGUCUACUCAUCACUUUACCCACCAGUUUACCAACUGGUUUAUCCACCAGUUUACCCACCGGUUUGCUCACCAGUUUACCCAAUGGUUUCCUCAAAGGUUUACUCACCGGUUUACCCACCUGUCUACUCAGGUAGGUAAAAACCAUAAAGUAGAACAGUACCUCACUUUGUUAAACAUCCCGUAAUAAAUAAAUCCCGUGAGUACUUAAAGCACUCCAAAUGACUAAUGCAUCUACCAGCCAGAUAAUCCUCCCGUCCUGUUAUACUGCAACGCUAUUGGUCGAUAGAUUACCAUGACAACAAUCUGUCGGUGACAGCCUGUAUAUUUUAGAAUUCCUAUCAUUUGAUCUAGACAGCAUGGUUUACCCAACUUUUAGGGGGAAGUAAAUAUAGUAGUCACAUUGAAAGCUUGUGUGUUUCUAAGCAAUGGAACUUCUAAGCAAAAGUGCACCUAUUCAUUUCAUCAUUGUUUUUGUUGACAAAAAGAUGCACCGUAUUAUAAAAAGAAUGGGAUUACAUCACCUUACAUGUAAUUUGGUUGAUCCUUUUAUCCAAAGUGACUUACAAUAAGUGCAUUCAACCAUAGGGAUACAAACUCAGAAGAACAAGAAACAAGAAAGUGUGAUUUCAUCAAAUAAGCCAAUUUACAAUUUUCUAUAGAUAAGUGCCAUUAAAGAUACAAGUUAAGUGCUACAAUUUGUUAGUCUUUUACAGUAUGUACGGAUAGGAUCGUGUUGCCAUGAAAUGGAUAAUGGGGAAAAAACACUAAGAUCAACACUAGUGUUUCCUUUUGCACUGUUUCAAGAUAAAUGCCAUUAUUUUUUUGUCAAUUUCCCAGACUUAUUGGUCACCGCUUGACUUAACAAUCAGGGCCCCUAGCCAGUUUUUUGGCCUCUGCCUCGAAAAUGGCAUACCUAUGAUAGAAGUGUAAUAACUCUACUUCGUCUAUCUGGACAUUUUGGGGGGAUAGAGGGGAACCCUGUGAGUGUUCUGUUGUUUAAAAAUCAAUUCAUAUGUUACUGGUGAAGAAAUAAAUGAAUAUAACACACAAACAAAAACUUCACAUUUUGAGAAAAAAAAUCACAGAUUUUAUUUCAAACGUGGAGAUAUUAGGCUAAUACGUGAUAGCCCAGUGUGUGGACAGUACACAUUGAAAGUUUUGCGUUAGGAUGGAGAUGAACUCCUUGCAACGGGAGGACUCAAUAUCUGGAUUUUUUCCUAAAUCAGGCGGUGGUAGACCGCCUGUUUCAACCACUUUUUUGAAUCGCCUAACCCUUUUGGUGAGGUUUAACUCUACGCACAGCCUCGGCUUUGUAACUGUACUCCUGAAUUCUAUUCUGGGGUGGCCCAAGGUGGUGGAGGUGCCAGGCGGGUUUGGGGAUACUCACAAGUCCAAGGCUGAGUGCUGCUGCAUUGGAGUUGGACAAUGGAGAUAACUGUAGAGGCGUGAAUGGGAGGAACGGCCUACCUGAUCUGAACCCGAGCGGUUGUUGGACUUCUGUGCUAGUCCCGGAUUAUCCAUAAUGAACACAAUGUUCAAACAUGUUCAUUAUUGUAUGUGGUAACAGAGCACCCUAGGCUGAAGAGGCCCCGGGAAGUGGGGGAGAGAUUACCAACCAUUAUCUCCACACUGGCCUGGGAACUCCUUGGGAAGACCCCUUAGAGCUGGUAGAUGCAGACCGGGAUGAGUCCCUGUUGGAACUGAUGCUCCCGCAAAAUGAAAGAUGAAAACUCUGGGACACCUUAGUAUUAUAUUCCUUGUUUCUCAAUAUUAUUUCUGUUUAGCGAUACGAUGACAUGUAAAAGAAGAUAUAUCUUCAUACACCAGCUUAAUUCUAGUGAUAAACCUAAUACACUACUUCCAAAGUCCUUGUGUCUACUGUCACACAUUAACAGGCCAGUUGGGAGUUCUGUGUGGAGAUGUAAAGGAUGUGUGACCUAUGCAUGUUGCAACAGUCUUCUGUUUCCAGUGGAUGUGCAAUAUUCAACACAUCUGAAGUAGGGAGAUACUUGCUGUUCAAACUGUUGAUUCGAAUCCUCUCAGCUAU